This 282-nucleotide unclassified non-coding RNA is filed under the name uncultured fungus. RNAcentral describes it as "partial contains 5.8S ribosomal RNA, internal transcribed spacer 2, and large subunit ribosomal RNA". The stretch from base 1 to 52 matches the Rfam family "5.8S ribosomal RNA", at positions 103 to 154 of the family's 154-position model. The record is from RNAcentral. Lineage: Eukaryota; Fungi.
AACGCACAUUGCGCCCGCCAGUAUUCUGGCGGGCAUGCCUGUCCGAGCGUCAUUUCAACCCUCAGGUCCCUCCCGCCAAGGGAGCGCGCCUGGCGUUGGGGAUCGGCCCCGCCCUGGCGGCGGCCGGCCCCGAAAACCAGUGGCGGUCACGCCGCGGCUUCCUCUGCGUAGUAGCCUACACCUCGCACCGGGACGCGGCGCGGCCACGCCGUAAAGCAGGACGCCACGUCCGCUCUUCUCAAGGUUGACCUCGGAUCAGGUAGGAAUACCCGCUGAACUUAA